AGGUGCGCCCCGGUCAGAGCUCAGGAUGGCCCAAAACGCAGAAUAAUAACGCUUCGGGAACUUUUAAUAAAGUGGCGUUCCUUAAAAGUUUGCUAGGUGCAAAGGUGCGCCCCGGUCAGAGCUCAGGAUGGCCCAAAACACGAAUAAUAACGCUUCGGAACUCCUGCUUAAUCAUCUUUUAGAAAGACUUCGCUCUCAAUUGGAGCAUAUUCUGGGACGCAUGCCUCUUGACCUGGACUUCUUAGAGUUCACUUGCACACAAGAACUUGUGUUAUUAAAUGCUGUAUCCAGUCAAGUAACUGUUUGUCCAGCUAUUCUAGACUCACUGACACAGCUACACAGUCUUAUCAAUCUGGAAAAAGACAAAAGGGAGCAACACAUUGCAGUUGUGCAGUUUGAGCAAGGACCGGCUGGGCGACAAAGAAUGGUCAUAUCCCCAGAGUACCUUAGCAAACUUUUGGAACUUAAUCUGUCUGUUCCAUGUAUAGCUAAACUUUUGGGGAUGUCCAGGCGCACAGUAUACAGACGCAUGGCUGAGUCUCAGUUAAGGGAUUAUACAGCACUAUGACUGAUGAAGAGUUAGAUCAGUGUGUAAGAGAGAUUAAGUCGAGGCAGCCUCACUCUGGAUAUCGGAUGGUGAAGGCCCUUCUGCAAGCCAGAGGACUGAGGGUGCAGUAUAACCGCGUCAGAGCCUCCAUGCACCGUGUUGACACCACUGGUGUCAUAAGCCGCAUGGUCCACGUAGGAUGUAUCGCUCGACGGACCUACUCAGUUCCAGGACCCCAGUCUUUGAUGCACAUAGAUACAAACCAUAAAUUAAUUCGGUAAAUUCUUAUCAAGCAAUGUUUUUGGCAAAAUGCAUACAUUCAAAGUGUGUUUGCAAAGUAUUUGGUAGUUAUCAGUAUGCUCCAUAACACAUUUUUUAUACUGCUGCUUUCAUGUUACUGUAUAUGUACCAUCACAGCUAAGCUCCUUAAAAAUGGUAUACACCUGGUGUAUUACGUUUAGAAACUGUGUUUAGAACACUGGCAGUAUGUUAUAUGCAGCUGAAUUUUUUUCUUAAAUUCUCUUUCAGCUACAACAUCGUU
Syngnathus typhle (broad-nosed pipefish) is the source of this 1088-nucleotide long non-coding RNA. RefSeq lists it as uncharacterized. The transcript has 3 exons. Lineage: Eukaryota; Metazoa; Chordata; Actinopteri; Syngnathiformes; Syngnathidae. The record is from RefSeq and is a predicted model, not a curated record.